AAGGAAAGCUUGCUUUUCUGAAUCUAGUGGCGAACGGGUGAGUAACACGUAGGUAACCUGCCCAUGUGCCCGGGAUAACUUCUGGAAACGGAUGCUAAAACCGGAUAGGUAGCAGACAAGCAUUUGACUGCUAUUAAAGUGGCUAAGGCCAUGAACAUGGAUGGACCUGCGGUGCAUUAGCCAGUUGGCGGGGUAACGGCCCACCAAAGCGACGAUCAGUAGCCGGCCUGAGAGGGUGAACGGCCACAUUGGGACUGAGACACGGCCCAAACUCC
RNAcentral lists this ribosomal RNA (275 nucleotides) under uncultured Bacillota bacterium. RNAcentral's name for it is "uncultured Firmicutes bacterium partial 16S ribosomal RNA". It matches the Rfam family "Bacterial small subunit ribosomal RNA", at positions 71 to 339 of the family's 1533-position model. Lineage: Bacteria; Bacillati; Bacillota. The record is from RNAcentral.